UUAUCUGGACGUUACCCACAGAAGAAGCACCGGCUAACUCCGUGCCAGCAGCCGCGGUAAUACGGAGGGUGCGAGCGUUAAUCGGAAUUACUGGGCGUAAAGGGUGCGUAGGUGGUUUAGUAAGUUAUCUGUGAAAUUCCUGGGCUCAACCUAGGGUGGUCAGAUUAGACUGCUGGACUAAGAGUAUAGGAGAGGGUAGUGGAAUUUCCGGUGUAGCGGUGAAAUGCGUAGAGAUCGGAAGGAACACCAGUGGCGAAGGCGGCUACCUGGCCUAAUACUACACUGAGGCACGAAAGCGUGGGGAGCAAACAGGAUUACAUACCC
RNAcentral lists this ribosomal RNA (324 nucleotides) under uncultured Legionella sp. Its description in RNAcentral is "bacterial SSU rRNA". It matches the Rfam family "Bacterial small subunit ribosomal RNA", at positions 464 to 787 of the family's 1533-position model. The record is from RNAcentral. Lineage: Bacteria; Pseudomonadati; Pseudomonadota; Gammaproteobacteria; Legionellales; Legionellaceae.